RNAcentral lists this ribosomal RNA (483 nucleotides) under uncultured bacterium. RNAcentral's name for it is "partial 16S ribosomal RNA". It matches the Rfam family "Bacterial small subunit ribosomal RNA", at positions 28 to 507 of the family's 1533-position model. The record is from RNAcentral.
GACGAACGCUGGCGGCGUGCUUAACACAUGCAAGUCGAACGCUGAAGCUCAGCUUUUGUUGGGUGGAUGAGUGGCGAACGGGUGAGUAACACGUGAGUAACCUGCCCUCUUCUUUGGGAUAACGCCCGGAAACGGGUGCUAAUACUGGAUAUUCACUGAUCUUCGCAUGGGGGUUGGUGGAAAGGUUUGUUCUGGUGGGGGAUGGGCUCGCGGCCUAUCAGCUUGUUGGUGGGGUGAUGGCCUACCAAGGCUUUGACGGGUAGCCGGCCUGAGAGGGUGACCGGUCACAUUGGGACUGAGAUACGGCCCAGACUCCUACGGGAGGCAGCAGUGGGGAAUAAUGCACAAUGUGCGAAAGCCUGAUGCAGCGACGCCGCGUGAGGGAUGGAGGCCUUCGGGUUGUAAACCUCUUUCGCUCAUGGUCAAGCCGCGACGUGGGUUGUGGUGAGGGUAGUGGGUAAAGAAGCGCCGGCUAACUACGUG